AUUGAACGCUGGCGGCAUGCCUUACACAUGCAAGUCGAGCGCCCCGCAAGGGGAGCGGCGGACGGGUGAGUAACGCGUGGGAACAUACCCUUUGGUACGGAAUAGCCGCGGGAAACUGGGAGUAAUACCGUAUGUGCUCGAAAGAGGAAAGAUUUAUCGCCAAAGGAUUGGCCCGCGUUGGAUUAGGUAGUUGGUGGGGGAAUGGCCUACCAAGCCGACGAUCCAUAGCUGGUUUGAGAGGAUGAUCAGCCACACUGGGACUGAGACACGGCCCAGACUCCUACGGUAGGCAGCAGUGGGGAAUCUUAGACAAUGGGCGCAAGCCUGAUCUAGCCAUGCCGCGUGAUCGAUGAAGGCCUUAGGGUUGUAAAGAUCUUUCAGUGGGGAAGAUAAUGACUGUACCCACAGAAGAAGCCCCGGCUAACUCCGUGCCAGCAGCCGCAGUAA
RNAcentral lists this ribosomal RNA (447 nucleotides) under uncultured bacterium. RNAcentral describes it as "partial 16S ribosomal RNA". It matches the Rfam family "Bacterial small subunit ribosomal RNA", at positions 30 to 523 of the family's 1533-position model. The record is from RNAcentral.